UUAAUGAGAGUUUGAUCCUGGCUCAGGACGAACGCUGGCGGCGUGCCUAAUACAUGCAAGUAGAACGCUGAAGAGAGGAGCUUGCUCUUCUUGGAUGAGUUGCGAACGGGUGAGUAACGCGUAGGUAACCUGCCUUGUAGCGGGGGAUAACUAUUGGAAACGAUAGCUAAUACCGCAUAACAAUGGAUGACACAUGUCAUUUAUUUGAAAGGGGCAAUUGUUCCACUACAAGAUGGACCUGCGUUGUAUUAGCUAGUAGGUGAGGUAAUGGCUCACCUAGGCGACGAUACAUAGCCGACCUGAGAGGGUGAUCGGCCACACUGGGACUGAGACACGGCCCAGACUCCUACGGGAGGCAGCAGUAGGGAAUCUUCGGCAAUGGGGGCAACCCUGACCGAGCAACGCCGCGUGAGUGAAGAAGGUUUUCGGAUCGUAAAGCUCUGUUGUAAGUCAAGAACGGGUGUGAGAGUGGAAAGUUCACACUGUGACGGUAGCUUACCAGAAAGGGACGGCUAACUACGUGCCAGCAGCCGCGGUAAUACGUAGGUCCCGAGCGUUGUCCGGAUUUAUUGGGCGUAAAGCGAGCGCAGGCGGUUUGAUAAGUCUGAAGUUAAAGGCUGUGGCUCAACCAUAGUUCGCUUUGGAAACUGUCAAACUUGAGUGCAGAAGGGGAGAGUGGAAUUCCAUGUGUAGCGGUGAAAUGCGUAGAUAUAUGGAGGAACACCGGUGGCGAAAGCGGCUCUCUGGUCUGUAACUGACGCUGAGGCUCGAAAGCGUGGGGAGCGAACAGGAUUAGAUACCCUGGUAGUCCACGCCGUAAACGAUGAGUGCUAGGUGUUGGAUCCUUUCCGGGAUUCAGUGCCGCAGCUAACGCAUUAAGCACUCCGCCUGGGGAGUACGACCGCAAGGUUGAAACUCAAAGGAAUUGACGGGGGCCCGCACAAGCGGUGGAGCAUGUGGUUUAAUUCGAAGCAACGCGAAGAACCUUACCAGGUCUUGACAUCCCGAUGCUAUUUCUAGAGAUAGAAAGUUACUUCGGUACAUCGGUGACAGGUGGUGCAUGGUUGUCGUCAGCUCGUGUCGUGAGAUGUUGGGUUAAGUCCCGCAACGAGCGCAACCCCUAUUGUUAGUUGCCAUCAUUCAGUUGGGCACUCUAGCGAGACUGCCGGUAAUAAACCGGAGGAAGGUGGGGAUGACGUCAAAUCAUCAUGCCCCUUAUGACCUGGGCUACACACGUGCUACAAUGGUUGGUACAACGAGUUGCGAGUCGGUGACGGCGAGCUAAUCUCUUAAAGCCAAUCUCAGUUCGGAUUGUAGGCUGCAACUCGCCUACAUGAAGUCGGAAUCGCUAGUAAUCGCGGAUCAGCACGCCGCGGUGAAUACGUUCCCGGGCCUUGUACACACCGCCCGUCACACCACGAGAGUUUGUAACACCCGAAGUCGGUGAGGUAACCUUUUGGAGCCAGCCGCCUAAGGUGGGACAGAUGAUUGGGGUGAAGUCGUAACAAGGUAGCCGUAUCGGAAGGUGCGGCUGGAUCACCUCCUUUCUAAGGAA
RNAcentral lists this ribosomal RNA (1555 nucleotides) under Streptococcus thermophilus. Its description in RNAcentral is "bacterial SSU rRNA". It matches the Rfam family "Bacterial small subunit ribosomal RNA". Lineage: Bacteria; Bacillati; Bacillota; Bacilli; Lactobacillales; Streptococcaceae. The record is from RNAcentral.